AGGCCUUCUCUGCUUUUCGUAGGCCAUGCUGGUGAGGGAGCUGCGGGCGUGCAAGGAGCUGGCAGGGGACACAGAUCCUGACCCCAAAGGAGACUCCAUGUUGCAUGGCAUCAUGCUCAGUAUAUAAAGUGGGGGAAGAAGAAGGAAGAGGGGGACACUUGGAGUGCUGGCUUGGCCUCCUCAAGCCCCUGUUACCAUGAGGGGGCCCUGCUCUCCUGGAGAUGGCUGCACACCUGCCUGCCCACAGGGAGAAGUGGAUUCGCUCCUUGUUUGGCUUUGCUUGUGUGCAAAGCUUUUGCUUUUCCUGUUAAACUGUCUGUAUUUCAACCCCAUGAGUUUUCCGGCCUUUCCCCUUCUGAUUCUCUCCCUGAUCCCAUGGGAGAGAGAGUGAGUGGCUGCCUGGAGCUCGGUGGCUGCCUGGGGUGACACUGUGACACAUGACAAAGUGUUCCUUUGGAACAGGAAGGCCACUGCUGCCAGCUCUGAGGGAGGCAGACAUUGGUGCCUGAGGAUUUAUUAGAAUUUCCCCCAGAUGAUCUUGCCUCCAGAUACUGGUUUCUUUCAACAUGAAUUUGUGGUCCCUUGCUGAAUGGGAAGCAGACGGAUUCAGAGAUGACCUCUGUCUCAGAAAGUGAUGGUUACUGGAAUUUGGGAAGAUGUGCAAAGGGGACUCAACACCUUCCUUGUGAACUUUAUGUUAAGGAAGAGGCGGGAUUUUCACGGCAGCAAACAGCUCAGUGUGGAGCCAGAGAGAGAGAGAUGCCCCGACAGUGCCAGCGCCGCUUUUCCCUGCGUUAAGGUACAGCCAGCGCCAACAGGGAAGGCUCCGACAGGGGCGGGCUGUUACGUAAGGGGAAAAUCUGCAUUCCUUGCGUAACUCGGCUCUUUACAUAACCCGGCUCUUCACGGCCCCGAGUGGGGAGAGCAGAGGAACGGAGAGCAGCGGAACGGAGAGGAGAGGAGCGCCCGGCACUGCCCGCCCCGCCAGAGGAAACGCGCUGCCUCUGCCCAAAGGAACAGAAACAAGAUGGGAAAUGUCACAGACUGCAGAUUCCCAUAGCUGAUAGUCUAGGUGGGCUUGAUGGAAAGAAGACAGGAGGUUUUGAAGUAGUUUUUUCACGUAGAAUCGUGGAAGCAUCAAGUUUGGAAGAGACCUUCAGGAUCGCCCGGUCACUGCGCCUGUAAAGCCGCAUCACCCAGAUCCAGACCUUGAACACCUCCAGGAUGGUGAUUCCACCACCUCCCCGGGCACCCCAUUCCAACAUCUGACCAUUCAAAAGUGAAAACAUAAAACACAGGCCUGGCCACAGCGAUUUUUACACAGGAAGAUUGGAUAGAAAUAAUAAAACAACUCCCACUCCCAGUGCAAGUUUAAGUUUCUACGGGAGAAUAAGAAAAUUCUCUAUUGGAUUUCUUGCCAACUCUGCCUGCUCAGCACUAGGAAAGGAACACAGAGAAAAUUUAUUUGGGCUGUAAAUGGUCACUAGGAAUCCCCAUGUACAAAUGAACUCCCAGGUUGGAGGUUGCAGAGUUUCACUGACAGUUGUGAGAGACUUGGAAAUACAUUUGUAAAACAAGGAGAAGAUGGGGGAUAACCUGGGGACAGGGAAAGCUGUAGCUCAGCAACACCUAGCCUGGAAUUUAUGUAAGGAUACAAAUUCAACAUCGAGCCCAGGGUUCAUUUAAGGAUAUGUGACCUCUGUGUAAAGUCAUGUCUAAACCGUAUCUUGCAUUUCCCAGUUCCUGGGCAGUUAUGUGCUCCAUCUGCAUCCCACAGAUACCUGUUAUUUGGGAAGGAAACUUCUGAUGAGAGGUCCAAAGAACCCAGACGCAAAUCUGUAUCACAAAUGAUUAUAGAAAACUUAAAGGCCAAUAAUAAUACAAAUGCACAACUGAGUAGCACUUAACUAUUUGCAUUUCCCCACAAACCUAACAUGUAAACUAAUUCUAAACAUACUGGUUAGAUUUCAGUACUGAUUUUUUCAGAAAUCACCUAAUUCAGAAUAUUUUUAUUUUAGGGUUCUCCAAAAUAGAAGACAAAGUUCUCCUCUGUGAGCUGGAAUUACACUGUUUUAUUAUUUAUCGUGCACUGGCAGUGUCUAAUUUAUUAGAUCGUUGCUUGCUGAAUAUUUUAUUUUACGUGCAUUCCGAGCAAAUAAAAUUCCUCUUAAAACAAAGUUGAGUAAAAGGGCAUUGUACAUCAGAGUUGUGCUUAAAAACUGUUUCUACUGCAUUGCAUAUAACAGAUUUGAAAUGUAAUUUUCAGAAAAUUCUGUUUUAUAAAUCAGAUUUAAGGUCACACAGCUACACAUACCGGUUUGUCUGAUGAAUUCAAACCUCUCCUCCUUUGAACAGUUCCACAAUUUCAGAUAAAUUAUGUAUGAAGUCAGAGAAAGGCACUCUUCCAUCUGAGGUAACUACUUGCAAAGUCCAAGCUAAGUAGGUUUGAGACAAACUGGUUUUAAACCAGCAUUUGACAUGGCUGUUGUGCCAAAGGCAGUUAGCAGAUGCCAGCAAAGAAUUCGCCAAGUGGCUGGAAAGAAAUCUUUCCAAAUAUCUACAUGAUGACUUACAAUUCCAAACACACCAAUGAGUCUCAUCUUGCUUGUAAACCUUUCUUGUGCAACAAAGUAUUACAGAAUAUUCUAUUUAUAAACUCAUGAAAAACUUCUUUCAUCUUGUUUCAGACUCCAGUUAUUAGGACUGUACAGGUACUUUCCCAGUUUACUUUUAAAGCAGGGGCUGAAGUCACAUCCUUUUGCAGUUUCUGUGGUUCUCACUUCCAUUUCUGGUUUUAAACAAACGGGUUUAUAUUUGCAUACUCCAUGUAUUUAAUCUUAUAAUAAUAUAUGCUACAGGACAGUUACACUCACAGGUAUCCUUUCAGAAGGGAGAAUGUCACUUGGCUGAAAAGCCCCUAGGAACUGGAUUCCACACCUAGAACUCUCUAAUGUCAGUACAAAUAAUUUAAAAAACAUUUUGCAUUUUAUAUAAGCCUAGUAGUAUCUUGUACGUACACAUUCCUACUAUUCAAGAUGGAAAAGCUUGGAAAAGCUUUUGGAAAAGUUUAUGGAAAAGCUUGGUCUAAUCAAAUUUUCUCUUUUUAGUUCUCAUCUCACAUCCCGCUUUCUGGAAUGGCCUUGAACAACCUCCAAAACAUAGGAAAUUUGUUGUUUUUAUUUAGAGUAGGAGCCAAACUUCUAGAUUUAGAAAUUCCUCCUUAACUCAAUAGUGAGAAAGGCCACAUCAUCUGUACCAAGUGUUCUUAGCUGCUCUAAUUCAAUUACAGGACUGAAUACUCAUAUGCCCAAUUCAUUUCUGCAGGCUUUUUGAAAACCAGUGGAUAAGAAAUAUGAUGCUUUUUGAUUUGUAGACUUUAUAAAACUGACAGAUAUGAUUGGCUUUGUAUCACUCAUUCAGUGGAGCAAGUUUCUCCCUUUUUGAAUUUUUACAAUUUUCUAUAUUAUUUUAUUUAAAAAAGGAAUCAUUCUUCCUUUACAGUGAAGAGUAUUUGAUAACACGAUUCAACUGCAUUUCACAUUUGGCACAAACCUCCCCUCUGGCUUUUGGAGAUAACUUCACUUAACUGUAAGGGUUUUUUUCUGUUGGAAUAUCAGAAAGUCUUCAGUAAGUAAAGGCAUGUGUGCCAAGCACAUCAUUAACUGAACUGAUUGAAGAUCAGAAAAGUAAGUACUAGGUCUAAUAUGGCUUGGGUGCCACUAAUGGGUACAUUAUAGAUUGAAAUAUUUCAUUUGAUCCAUUAGUUGUUUUGUUGCUGUCAAUACCACAGGCAGUUGUAUGAAUCUAUUUACAAAACGAAUUCAACCUCCAUUAGCUUUUAAGGCACUGCUCAAAUGAAAGCAGUCUCUUACAACAGCUGAAACAAUUACAAGUGAAAAUGAGAGACCAUUUUGAUGAAUAUGCAUUCCAGCAGUAAUCAUCUCCCAGACAAGAUUUGUCUGUUUCUAAAAAUAAUUGUUAAUAAUACAGAUGUAUAUUUAGGGGAAGUUUAUUAUUUUGUUCCAUUCCUCUGUAAAUGUUGACAUUUAAAAAUUUAACUGCAUUUCCUCUUGUUAAAAUAGACUGCAAAAGAGAAAAUACCAUGUGCACUGGAAUAAUCAUGAGUGUAUUACCAUCACCAAAAGAGUAGUCUGUAAAGUAAGACUAAAAGCAAGUU
Ficedula albicollis (Collared flycatcher) is the source of this 4177-nucleotide long non-coding RNA. Lineage: Eukaryota; Metazoa; Chordata; Aves; Passeriformes; Muscicapidae. The record is from Ensembl.